Molecule: long non-coding RNA, 534 nt
Filed under: Homo sapiens (human)
Lineage: Eukaryota; Metazoa; Chordata; Mammalia; Primates; Hominidae
Description: HSALNT0272752
Source: RNAcentral
UUUCUCGGCACAAGCUCUCUCUUUGCCUGCCGCCAUCCAUGUAAGAUGUGACUUGCUCCUCCUUGCCUCCCGCCAUGAUUGUGAGGCCUCCCCAGCCAUGUGGAACUGUAAGUCUAAUAAACUUCUUUCUUUUGUAAAUUGCCCAGUCUUGGCUAUGUCUUUAUCAGCAGUGUGAAAACGGACUAAUACAACUCCUUUUUGCAUUUUUGCCACAACAGUUUCCUUCAGUACAACAGCUACUUUUUAAGGAGUGCUUUCUGUCAGGGACCAGGCCAGGCACUAGGAAUAUUCACAUGAAGAAGGCAAAGCCCAGGACCUUCCAUCAGUUGGUGAGGCCUGUGAUUGGCCACAGCUGCCUGCGUCUCAUUCUGCCGCUGAUCUAAGGAAGCCCUUCAUUGCCACAUAUCUCAGCCUUAAUCUCCAUUGUCAGCUCUCUCCAUCCUGAAGCUCAAGUUUGAAUACUGAGGUCUGCAAGGACAUUAUACUGAGACCUGCAAGGACAUUUGUCUCACAUUGCAAUAAACAGCCACCGGG